This 364-nucleotide long non-coding RNA is filed under the name Bos taurus (domestic cattle). RNAcentral describes it as "long non-coding RNA NONBTAT023761". The record is from RNAcentral. Lineage: Eukaryota; Metazoa; Chordata; Mammalia; Artiodactyla; Bovidae.
CUUUUACAUUUAAGGAAACUAGCACUAAGAUAAGUGACUUAAGCAGUAUUUGCUCUUUCUUUUAUUCUCUUUUUUUCACCCUGCUACAACUCUAGUUCAUAUCUAUAUUUCCUCUAGACCAAAGUAUUCCAAAGUGUGUUCUGUGAAAUAAAAUCCACACAACUCUGCCCAGAGAAGCACGUUGGUCAGAUAUGUUUGGGAGAUGGGUGAUGGUACACCCUGAAAUCCUCCUUGUCUGUGUCACAGGGCACAUUAAUCCCUCUGAGAAAAGCUGCUGUAAGGAGCCUUCCAAAACUUUUAACAGAACCUUAAAUCAGCAGCCCUGUUGAUGUCCCACAAAGCCAGAGGUCCAUGGAAUGAACUU